CUUCUGUAUUAGGUUAAUGGAUGAAAUACAUGCAUGUGAUAUGGGAAAUUUACACGCAAAAACAAAACAAAACAAAAUACAUGACAGACAGUAGCUGCCAAGAACUGUACAUACACAAAAUGCAGGGUCAAGGGAAGGUGCUAAUUUCACCAUCCUUUUUCUUUUUGAUCAUCCAAUGGUUUUUGGUCUUGCCACAUAACAUAGACAAAGUCCAAAUUCAACUCAGAAUUACAUUAUGUGUCCAUAGGCAGUGUAUCUACAUGCUGUAUAUGUGCUUUUUUAAUAUCAUGAACGUGUGGAAGUUGAAACCCUCACGUAUAUAAAGUUAUAUUCUUGUGAUCAGGGUCAAAAAGAGCACACACUUUUUCCAGAAAACUUGACUGCCUCUGCUUGCUCCCCAAGCCUAUACAUCUUGAAGAAAUUUCCAAGUUUAUUCUUACCUUCAGUUCUCUAUAAAUAUACAAGUUAUCUCGUGUUUCCCUUCAAACCCAUAAUAACCAAGUUAUUAUAAUUAUUUUCUGUUCCUCGCCAUCUAUUUUAAACUCUCCUUCAAAUUCACUGGAAAUGGCAUUCAUGUCAAGUUUUAUAAGUUGCUUUCUUCCCUCGUCAUCCUCUCGAGUCUCUGAUGGUGCAGCGGUCUCCAGUGGGAAGUCAUCAUCAUCAACAAGUGCUCCAAUUAUAGUUUCUUACUUCCCCACCAAUUCAUAUCUCUCGCGCUUGUAGUGAAUUUCCUGCAGUACAGCAGACGUUACAGAAGUAGAACAUUCUGAGUCCUGAUGACCUUUAAGAGUUUCUUUAUUUUUAGUUUUUAGAUGGAAUAAGAUAUUAGAAAUUCAAUUUUGACUUGUUCAUAUCUGUUGUUAUCUUAUCUCUGUUGUAAUAAACUCACAAUCACACAAAUAUCUCUUGUGUUAAAUAUAUUACAGUAUCAAUCAAUUCACAAUCUAUCAGAUUCCAAUAUAUAUAUCUAUAUAUAAUAUAUAUAAUAAAGAAAUGUUUAACAUCCAUAUAGCAUAUUAUAUGAAUCCUGAGG
RNAcentral lists this long non-coding RNA (1033 nucleotides) under Ricinus communis (castor bean). Its description in RNAcentral is "long non-coding RNA (RCOM_LNC000301)". Lineage: Eukaryota; Viridiplantae; Streptophyta; Magnoliopsida; Malpighiales; Euphorbiaceae. The record is from RNAcentral.